CAGAAAAUAGUUUAAAUGAAAAUUUGGGUUUUGGAAAUCUAAGAUGCUGAAAAGUUUUUCUGA
Molecule: transfer RNA, 63 nt
Filed under: Tetraclita squamosa squamosa
Lineage: Eukaryota; Metazoa; Arthropoda; Thecostraca; Balanomorpha; Tetraclitidae
Description: tRNA-Pro
Source: RNAcentral